UUCCGGUUGAUCCUGCCGGAGGCCACUGCUAUUGGGAUCCGACUAAGCCAUGCGAGUCGAGAGGGUUCGGCCCUCGGCAGACUGCUCAGUAACACGUGGAUAACCUACCCUCAGGCGGAGAAUAACCUCGGGAAACUGAGAAUAAUACUCCAUAGAUCUAGGAUGCUGGAAUGCGCCUAGAUUGAAAGCUCUGGCGCCUAAGGAUGGGUCUGCGGACUAUCAGGUUGUAGUCAGGGUAAAGACCUGACUAGCCUACGACGGAUAUGGGUUGUGAGAGCAAUAGCCCAGAGACGAUAUCUGAGACACGAUAUCGGGCCCUACGGGGCGCAGCAGGCGCGAAAUCUUCACAAUGUGCGAAAGCACGAUGAGGGGAUCCCAAGUGCUGGCACGUAAGUGUCAGCUGUUUCUUUGUCUAAAAAACAGAGAGAGUAAGAGCUGGGUAAGACGGGUGCCAGCCGCCGCGGUAAUACCUGCAGCUCAAGUGGUGGCCGCUAUUAUUGGGCCUUAAACGUCCGUAGCCGGUUUAGUAAAUGCUUGGGUAAAUUGUGUAGCUUAACUAUACGAAUACCGGGUAGACUGCUAAACUUGGGACCGGGAGAGGCUAGAGGUACUCCUAGGGUAGAGGUGAAAUUCUGUAAUCCUAGGGGGACCACCAGUGGCGAAGGCGUCUAGCUAGAACGGGUCUGACGGUGAGGGACGAAGCCCUGGGGCGCGAACCGGAUUAGAUACCCGGGUAGUCCAGGGUGUAAACGCUGCUUGCUUGAUGUUAGUUGGGCUCCGAGCCCAACUAGUGUCGGAGAGAAGUUGUUAAGCAAGCUGCCUGGGAAGUACGGUCGCGAGACUGAAACUUAAAGGAAUUGGUCGGGGGAGCACAGCAACGGGCUGAGCGUGCGGCUUAUGGGACUCAACGCCGGA
RNAcentral lists this ribosomal RNA (915 nucleotides) under uncultured archaeon. RNAcentral's name for it is "bacterial SSU rRNA". It matches the Rfam family "Archaeal small subunit ribosomal RNA", at positions 1 to 922 of the family's 1478-position model. The record is from RNAcentral.